GACGAACGCUGGCGGCGUGCUUAACACAUGCAAGUCGAACGGAAAGGCCUCUUUCGGGGGGUACUCGAGUGGCGAACGGGUGAGUAACACGUGAGUAACCUGCCCUUGACUUUGGGAUAACUUCAGGAAACUGGGGCUAAUACCGGAUAGGAGCUCCUGCUGCAUGGUGGGGGUUGGAAAGUUUCGGCGGUUGGGGAUGGACUCGCGGCUUAUCAGCUUGUUGGUGGGGUAGUGGCUUACCAAGGCUUUGACGGGUAGCCGGCCUGAGAGGGUGACCGGCCACAUUGGGACUGAGAUACGGCCCAGACUCCUACGGGAGGCAGCAGUGGGGAAUAUUGCACAAUGGGUGGAAGCCGGAUGCAGCAACGCCGUGUGCGGGAUGACGGCCUUCGGGUUGUAAACCGCUUUCGCUCAUGACGAAGCUUUGCGUGACGGUAGUGGGUAAAGAAGCACCGGCUAACUACGUG
Molecule: ribosomal RNA, 467 nt
Filed under: uncultured bacterium
Lineage: Bacteria
Description: partial 16S ribosomal RNA
Rfam family: Bacterial small subunit ribosomal RNA
Source: RNAcentral